GAUAUCGGAAAUAUCGGUAGUCCAAAAACACGGAAAUUUCGAUGGAAAUAUCGGGAUAUUAUCAAUAUCGAUAAAAAAUGAAUAAAAACUACGGAAAUUGUAAGAAAAACUUGGAAAUUUUUAUUGAAACUUUGCAGGGUGUUUAUUUAGUCAAUUAUCUAUUAGUUUAUCACAAAAAAAUUGGAAGGAAAUGCAUUGCAUGAUAGAUAUAACUAAUUUAAGUUGAUUAUAUAGCGAGCUGGUAAACAUUGUGAGUGUAGAAAAUAUGUAGUAAUUAAUGAAAGAAGUUUAAACACACCAUAAUCAUUUAUAUAUAAUGAAUUAGUACAAUAUUUUAUACUUUAUACAUUGCAUGGUAAGAUACAUGAGUGACUUAGCAAAGUCUAAAAUAUCGAUGAUAUCGGAAAUAUCGGUAGUCCAAAAAAAUAUCGGUAGUCCAAAAACACAGAAAUUUCGAUGUAAAUAUCGGGAUAUUAUCGGUAGUCCAAAAUAUCGGUAGUCCAAAAACACAGAAAUUUAGACCAUGGUGAAAACCUACUAUUUAAAUCUGCUUCCCCACACACUAGCCACUAGCUUUCUGUUUAUUAAGGC
This 591-nucleotide long non-coding RNA is filed under the name Malus domestica (apple). Its description in RNAcentral is "long non-coding RNA (MDOM_LNC004824)". The record is from RNAcentral. Lineage: Eukaryota; Viridiplantae; Streptophyta; Magnoliopsida; Rosales; Rosaceae.